This 27-nucleotide ribosomal RNA is filed under the name Scorpidium scorpioides. RNAcentral's name for it is "partial 18S ribosomal RNA". RNAcentral also lists the same sequence under 2 other names. The record is from RNAcentral. Lineage: Eukaryota; Viridiplantae; Streptophyta; Bryopsida; Hypnales; Amblystegiaceae.
GUGGGUGAACCUGCGGAAGGAUCAUUG